Molecule: long non-coding RNA, 579 nt
Filed under: Vigna radiata
Lineage: Eukaryota; Viridiplantae; Streptophyta; Magnoliopsida; Fabales; Fabaceae
Description: long non-coding RNA (VRAD_LNC011370)
Source: RNAcentral
UCUUGAAAGUCACAGGCUAGAGAGUCCAAAGACUCCCUCUAGCCACCUUCCAAAGCACACUUCCUCACUCUCAUUUCCAUUAACACAGUGCUUCUCUCUCAUCAGACAUCACACAACAUCAACCACACGUUCGCUGACCAGUGGCACCAUUCUUCAUCAGCCACUCCUCCACUGACACGUCGUUGCUCACGCGUCAACCUCGUGAAUUCAUUCUUGCCUCCUUCCACAUCUUCAUUCAUUCACGCAUUCCAUUUCCACAUAUCAAAAACCUCUCUGUUAGGGUUUCUUCAUCUCAAGCGCCUCUACUCCAUUUCUCGGUCACAAACUCACUUCCUCAUCAUCAUAAGUCUGGUUUUCAUCUCCGAUUCACUUCAUCAUUUUUGUUUCUUCCUCGUUUCAACCUCGUCUCACCAUUUCCCAUAGAUUUCACUGAUUGUUUUCGAUUUCCACCGUUUAAAACCACCUUUGCACCAAUCCAAACCAUUUCCACCGUUUAUUAUCUGUUUUGAACCGAUUAAUUAGUUCAAUUUGUGUCUCUCCCCAUUUCUAGGGUUCAACCGGUCUAAAUUAGGGUUGUUC